AUUUGAGAGGAUUUGACCCUAGUACGAGAGGACCGGGUUGAACGUACCUCUGGUGUACCGGUUGUUCUACCAAGAGCAUGGCCGGGUAGCUACGUACGGAACAGAUAAGCGCUGAAAGCAUAUUAAGCGCGAAACUGACUUCAAGAUUAGGUUUCCCUAUGAGAUCCCUGAAAGACUAUCAGGUUGAUAGGCGCAAGGUGUAAGCAUGGCAACGUGUAUAGCUGAAGCGUACUAAUAGAUCCAUCGACUUUUUAUG
RNAcentral lists this ribosomal RNA (256 nucleotides) under Candidatus Saccharimonadota bacterium. RNAcentral's name for it is "partial 23S ribosomal RNA". It matches the Rfam family "Bacterial large subunit ribosomal RNA", at positions 2660 to 2925 of the family's 2925-position model. Lineage: Bacteria; Candidatus Saccharimonadota. The record is from RNAcentral.